GACGAACGCUGGCGGCGUGCCUAAUACAUGCAAGUCGAACGCUGAAGGGGGAGCUUGCUUCGCUGGAGUAGUUGCGAAGGGAAGAGUAGCGCGUAGGGAACCUGACUUGUAGCGGGGGACAAGUAUUGGAAACGAUAGCUAAGACAGCAUAAUAGUAGAUGUUGCAGGACAUUUGCUUGAAAGGUGCAAUUGCAUCACUACCAGAUGGACCUGCGUUGUAUUAGCUAGUUGGUGGGGUAGCGGCUCACCAAGGCGACGAUACAUAGCCGGCCUGAGAGGGGGAGCGGCCACACUGGGACUGAGACACGGACCAGCCUCCUACGGGAGGCAGCAGGAGGGAAUCUUCGGCAAUGGACGGAAGUCUGACCGAGCAAGGGCGCGCGCGUGAAGAAGGGUUUCGUAUCGGAUAGCUCUGUUGUAAGCGAAGAAAGCGUGUGUGAGUGGAAAGUUCACACUUUGACGGUAUCUUAACAGAAAGCGACGGCUAACUACGUG
Molecule: ribosomal RNA, 495 nt
Filed under: uncultured bacterium
Lineage: Bacteria
Description: partial 16S ribosomal RNA
Rfam family: Bacterial small subunit ribosomal RNA
Source: RNAcentral